AUACGGAGGGUGCAAGCGUUAUUCGGAAUCACUGGGCGUAAAGGACGCGUAGGCGGGUUGGCAAGUCAGAUGUGAAAUCCUACAGUUUAACUGUAGAACUGCAUUUGAAACUGCUAACCUAGAGUAUGGGAGGGGGAGAUGGAAUUAGUGGUGUAGGGGUAAAAUCCGUAGAUAUCACUAGGAAUACCGAAAGCGAAGGCGAUCUCCUGGAACAUAACUGACGCUAAGGCGUGAAAGCGUGGGGAGCAAACAGGAUUAGAAACCCCAGUAGUCC
This 274-nucleotide ribosomal RNA is filed under the name uncultured bacterium. RNAcentral describes it as "partial 16S ribosomal RNA". It matches the Rfam family "Bacterial small subunit ribosomal RNA", at positions 523 to 796 of the family's 1533-position model. The record is from RNAcentral.